Molecule: non-coding RNA, 29 nt
Filed under: Homo sapiens (human)
Lineage: Eukaryota; Metazoa; Chordata; Mammalia; Primates; Hominidae
Source: RNAcentral
CAAGCUGUCAGCCAUGCCUGAUGUGGUCC